UACGGAGGGUGCGAGCGUUGUCCGGAAUCACUGGGCGUAAAGGGCGCGUAGGCGGCCUGAUAAGUAGGGGGCGAAAUCCUGCGGCUUAACCGCAGGGCUGCCUUCUAAACUGUCGGGCUAGAGCACGGUAGAGGCAGAUGGAAUUCCCGGUGUAGCGGUGGAAUGCGUAGAGAUCGGGAGGAACAUCAGUGGCGAAGGCGGUCUGCUGGGCCGUUGCUGACGCUGAGGCGCGACAGCGUGGGGAGCAAACAGG
Molecule: ribosomal RNA, 253 nt
Filed under: uncultured bacterium
Lineage: Bacteria
Description: partial 16S ribosomal RNA
Rfam family: Bacterial small subunit ribosomal RNA
Source: RNAcentral